GGCCUCGUAGCUCAGCUGGUAGAGUGUACGCUGUACAAAAGCGUAGGCAACGCCCAUGCGUGGAUUCGAAUCCCACCGAGGCUA
RNAcentral lists this transfer RNA (84 nucleotides) under Echinostoma caproni. It matches the Rfam family "tRNA". Rfam says of the family: Transfer RNA (tRNA) molecules are approximately 80 nucleotides in length. Their secondary structure includes four short double-helical elements and three loops (D, anti-codon, and T loops). The record is from Rfam by way of RNAcentral. Lineage: Eukaryota; Metazoa; Platyhelminthes; Trematoda; Plagiorchiida; Echinostomatidae.